GACGAACGCUGGCGGCGUGCCUAACACAUGCAAGUCGAACGGAGAUGUUGAUUUCGGUUGACGUCUUAGUGGCGCACGGGUGAGUAACGCGUGAACAAUCUGACCUUAAGAGGGGGAUAACAACGAGAAAUCGUUGCUAAUACCGCAUAAGACCACAACGUCGCAUGGCGAAGGGGUCAAAGGAGAAAUCCGCUUAGGGAGGGGUUCGCGUCCCAUUAGGUAGUAGGUGAGGUAACGGCUCACCUAGCCUGCGAUGGGUAGCCGAGCUGAGAGGCUGAACGGCCACACUGGAACUGAGACACGUUCCAGACUCCUACGGGAGGCAGCAGUGGGGAAUAUUGGGCAAUGGGCGCAAGCCUGACCCAGCAACGCCGCGUGAGGGAAGAAGGUUUUCGGAUUGUAAACCUCUGUCGCAGAUGACGAAAAAAAUGACGGUAAUCUGUGAGGAAGCCCCGGCUAACUACGUG
Molecule: ribosomal RNA, 467 nt
Filed under: uncultured bacterium
Lineage: Bacteria
Description: bacterial SSU rRNA
Rfam family: Bacterial small subunit ribosomal RNA
Source: RNAcentral